This 500-nucleotide long non-coding RNA is filed under the name Rhinolophus ferrumequinum (greater horseshoe bat). RNAcentral describes it as "lncRNA (ENSRFEG00010016581.1)". The record is from RNAcentral. Lineage: Eukaryota; Metazoa; Chordata; Mammalia; Chiroptera; Rhinolophidae.
CCUCCCACAGGCCCCGGGUGCUGCUUCCACUGCCCCUGCCCCUGCCCCCAGGACUGACCUGCGCCCCCAUGGCCAUGGCCAUAUACCUGACCCAUCGGAGGGCGGGGGCUGGACCGGGACACUGCAGGAACAUGGCCUGUCGGGAUGUAACCCCAGUGGUCACAAUCUUGAAGGAAUAAUUGGAGGGUGUUUGUGGCACAGCCAGACCCCUCACCGAGGGCCCCUCACUUGAGGGCCAGUCCUGGCACAGAAGCACUGGGGAUUUUGAAGAGAACGAGCCCACAGACUGGCGCCGCGAGAGAGCAGGGAAAACCGGAAGUUGGAAUGGAGCCGCCGGACGGGAAACGCGAGCACACCGGCCUUGGUCAGGCGGCACCAGGAUGACCCUCCCCAUUCCGCGGGGCUACCGUCGGGGACGCGGACGGGAGCGCGCCGGUGAGGGCGGCUGGGCGGUGCCGUGGGUGGGGCGGGUCCAUAGAGGCGUCAGCCAAUCACCGGCA